GCCGGGUGAUGCUAUCGUUAUCCGGAAUCACUGGGCGUAAAGCGUCUGUAGGUGGUGAUGCAAGUCACUGGUGCAAAACUCUGGCUCAACCGGAGGAAAGCCGGUGAAACUGCAUGACUAGAGUGUGGGAGAGGUAGAAGGAAUUCCCUGAGUAGCGGUGAAAUGCGUAGAUACAGGGAAGAACACCGGAGGCGAAAGCGUUCUACUGGAACACAACUGACACUGAGAGACGAAAGCUAGGGGAGCGAAUGGG
RNAcentral lists this ribosomal RNA (253 nucleotides) under uncultured bacterium. Its description in RNAcentral is "partial 16S ribosomal RNA". It matches the Rfam family "Bacterial small subunit ribosomal RNA", at positions 524 to 776 of the family's 1533-position model. The record is from RNAcentral.